Non-coding RNA from Lentinula boryana, 84 nucleotides. The record is from the annotation of a GenBank genome assembly. Lineage: Eukaryota; Fungi; Basidiomycota; Agaricomycetes; Agaricales; Omphalotaceae.
GGUCUAAUAGUGUAGAGGUUAUCACACGGGAUUUUGAUUUCUGUGGUAUUUCCCGUAACCCAGGUUCGAGUCCUGGUUAGACCU